Molecule: long non-coding RNA, 291 nt
Filed under: Medicago truncatula (barrel medic)
Lineage: Eukaryota; Viridiplantae; Streptophyta; Magnoliopsida; Fabales; Fabaceae
Description: long non-coding RNA (MTRU_LNC006539)
Source: RNAcentral
CAAUAAUAAAAAGGGGUACAACAUUAUUGAUCGAACCAAUUUUUUCCGGUCACCGGUAAAUGAAAUAUCCAGCAUUCAUCGUCAUCAGAAAUCCGGAAACCUCUUAAAAAACUCACAUACGAUGAACCACAAGUCAAAGAGUUUAUACCUUCAAACGCCAAGAGGAAAAAGCUGAAUCCUCUGUCUUAACCCACGCUCCAAACUAAGUUCUUCAGUUGGAUUUUGAUUGCCAUUUACUUACUCAUAUAAGUUGUAGCAAUGUGGGGACACUCAACCCUCCACUAUUUUAUU